CACAAUGGCCAGUCUUUCUCUUUGAGCAUCAGUGCAAGGUCACAAUGACUAGUCCUUCUCUUUGGUGCUGGCAGCAUCAACAUUAGCCCACAAUGGCCAGUAUCCUUCUCUCCAUGAAAUGAGCAGCAGAGGCAUGCUGGGACACAGCCUUCUCUCUCUAUCCUAGUUUCAAGCUUCAGAGAAUUGGAUCUCUCCCCCGGUGGCAGUAAUUAAGCAGAUCAAAUGGAAGGAGCGUUCUUACUGGUACCUGUUGGUGAUGAUGAUAGCUGAACACAAGGGGAUGGGCUGUGUCAUAGUGACACUCUAUUAAUGGUGGCCACUGAGAACAAUUACGCGGGAAGUGAUAACAGCAAUGUUUCUACACAGACUCCUAUCCUUAUUAAAGGAAUAAUUGCUAUUUAA
Podarcis raffonei (Aeolian wall lizard) is the source of this 402-nucleotide long non-coding RNA. RefSeq lists it as uncharacterized. The record is from RefSeq and is a predicted model, not a curated record. NCBI's taxonomy places the organism in Eukaryota, Metazoa, Chordata, Lepidosauria, Squamata, Lacertidae. The transcript has 2 exons.